CCUACGGGAGGCAGCAGUGAGGAAUAUUGGUCAAUGGGCGGGAGCCUGAACCAGCCAAGCCGCGUGAGGGAAGAAGGUACAGCGUAUCGUAAACCUCUUUUGUCAGGGAACAAAGGCGGGGACUAGUCCCCGGAUGAGGGUACCUGAAGAAAAAGCAUCGGCUAACUCCGUGCCAGCAGCCGCGGUAAUACGGAGGAUGCGCGGGUAAUCCGGAUUUCUUGGGUUUAAGGGGUGCGAAGGCGGCCUGUUACGUCAGCGGUAAAAGCCCGGGGCGCAACCCCGGCGAGCCGUUGAAACUGGCGGGCUUGAGUGGGAGAGAGGUACGCGGAAUGCGCGGUGUAGCGGUGAAAUGCUUAGAUAUCGCGCAGAACCCCGAUUGCGAAGGCAGCGUACCAGCUCCACACUGACGCUGAGGCACGAAAGCGUGGGUAUCGAACAGGAUUAGAUACCCCGGUAGUC
RNAcentral lists this ribosomal RNA (459 nucleotides) under uncultured bacterium. RNAcentral's name for it is "partial 16S ribosomal RNA". It matches the Rfam family "Bacterial small subunit ribosomal RNA", at positions 338 to 795 of the family's 1533-position model. The record is from RNAcentral.